GGUUAAGUGACUAAGCGUACACGGUGGAUGCCUGGGCAGUCAGAGGCGAUGAAGGACGUACUAACUUGCGAUAAGCGCAGAUAAGGCAGUAAGAGCCGUUUGAGUCUGCGAUUUCCGAAUGGGGAAACCCAACUGCAUAAGCAGUUACUGUUAACUGAAUACAUAGGUUAACAGAGCAAACCGGGGGAACUGAAACAUCUAAGUACCCCGAGGAGAAGAAAUCAACCGAGAUUCCGGUAGUAGCGGCGAGCGAACCUGGAUUAGCCCUUAAGCACUCGGUGAAGUAGGUGAACAAGCUGGAAAGCUUGGCGAUACAGGGUGAUAGCCCCGUAACCGACGCUUCAUCGAGCGUGAAAUCGAGUAGGGCGGGACACGUGAUAUCCUGUCUGAAUAUGGGGGGACCAUCCUCCAAGGCUAAAUACUCCUGACUGACCGAUAGUGAACCAGUACCGUGAGGGAAAGGCGAAAAGAACCCCUGUGAGGGGAGUGAAAUAGAACCUGAAACCGUGUACGUACAAGCAGUAGGAGCACCUUCGUGGUGUGACUGCGUACCUUUUGUAUAAUGGGUCAGCGACUUAUAUUCAGUGGCAAGGUUAACCGUAUAGGGGAGCCGUAGCGAAAGCGAGUCUUAACUGGGCGCUCAGUCUCUGGAUAUAGACCCGAAACCGGGUGAUCUAGCCAUGGGCAGGUUGAAGGUUGAGUAACAUCAACUGGAGGACCGAACCGACUAAUGUUGAAAAAUUAGCGGAUGACUUGUGGCUAGGGGUGAAAGGCCAAUCAAACUCGGAGAUAGCUGGUUCUCCCCGAAAGCUAUUUAGGUAGCGCCUCGGACGAAUACUACUGGGGGUAGAGCACUGUUAAGGCUAGGGGGUCAUCCCGACUUACCAACCCUUUGCAAACUCCGAAUACCAGUAAGUACUAUCCGGGAGACACACGGCGGGUGCUAACGUCCGUCGUGGAGAGGGAAACAACC
This 973-nucleotide ribosomal RNA is filed under the name Vibrio cholerae. RNAcentral describes it as "partial 23S ribosomal RNA". It matches the Rfam family "Bacterial large subunit ribosomal RNA", at positions 1 to 1027 of the family's 2925-position model. Lineage: Bacteria; Pseudomonadati; Pseudomonadota; Gammaproteobacteria; Vibrionales; Vibrionaceae. The record is from RNAcentral.